GGGCCUAUAGCUCAGUUGGUUAGAGCAGCAGACUCAUAAUCUGCGGGUCGAAGGUUCGAGACCUUCUGGGCCCA
This 74-nucleotide transfer RNA is filed under the name Leptospira sp. RNAcentral's name for it is "tRNA-Ile". It matches the Rfam family "tRNA". Rfam says of the family: Transfer RNA (tRNA) molecules are approximately 80 nucleotides in length. Their secondary structure includes four short double-helical elements and three loops (D, anti-codon, and T loops). Lineage: Bacteria; Pseudomonadati; Spirochaetota; Leptospiria; Leptospirales; Leptospiraceae. The record is from RNAcentral. RNAcentral also lists the same sequence under 2 other names.